Molecule: ribosomal RNA, 515 nt
Filed under: uncultured bacterium
Lineage: Bacteria
Description: partial 16S ribosomal RNA
Rfam family: Bacterial small subunit ribosomal RNA
Source: RNAcentral
GAUGAACGCUGGCGGCGUGCCUAAUACAUGCAAGUCGAGCGAAUGGAUUAAGAGCUUGCUCUUAUGAAGUUAGCGGCGGACGGGUGAGUAACACGUGGGUAACCUGCCCAUAAGACUGGGAUAACUCCGGGAAACCGGGGCUAAUACCUGAUAACAUUUUGAACCGCAUGGUUCGAAAUUGAAAGGCGGCUUCGGCUGUCACUUAUGGAUGGACCCGCGUCGCAUUAGCUAGUUGGUUAGGUAACGGCUCACCAAGGCAACGAUGCGUAGCCGACCUGAGAGGGUGAUCGGCCACACGGGGACUGAGACACGGCCCAGACUCCUACGGGGGGCAGCAGUAGGGAAUCUUCCGCAAUGGACGACAGUCUGACGGAGCAACGCCGCGUGAGUGAUGAAGGCUUUCGGGUCGUAAAACUCUGUUGUUAGGGAAGAACAAGUGCUAGUUGAAUAAGCUGGCACCUUGACGGUACCUAACCAGAAAGCCACGGCUAACUACGUGCCAGCAGCCGCGGUAA